Lolium perenne is the source of this 2779-nucleotide non-coding RNA. Lineage: Eukaryota; Viridiplantae; Streptophyta; Magnoliopsida; Poales; Poaceae. The record is from RefSeq and is a predicted model, not a curated record.
UGGAAAAUGCAGCCUUUGCCUCAUCCUUGCACCGUGUGCUUUCAGUUCUGUCAAAUAAGUCAUUUUCGCAUGUGUUCUGUGUUGCUGUUACUUUCUUGCCGUUUUUUAGUGUGCACAUUUCUUUCGAAUGCUAGGUACAUAUAGCUUCAGAUUUCAUGCUUCACGGCCUAUAUUUACGCAUACACAGCUACACACGCAGAGAUGUUUCAGGUUUCAGUGUUGUCACAAACAUGGAAGCUUCAGUAGAAGCCAAUAGGUUUCAUGGAUCUUUUGCAUGUCACAUUUUCAUACCUAAAAGAAAAUCAGAAGUUUCUUCCAUUUGAGGCCAUCACAUUGUAUACUCGGAGGUAGUGUAGCACACGAGUAAACGUUUGAUUAGUGUAUGUGUUCCAUAGAUGAAUAUACACCCUCAUUUUCAUAAACACAUAAGUCGUAUGUGCACAUUUUUUUAGUAUAACCAGGUCUUCUGCAUAGUGCUCUAUAAAUCCAUGCAAGCUUUGUUGUUAUAUGUCUCGACGUGGAUAGUGUCAAUGUUAUGCCAAGUUUACAUCAAGUUCAGUUUUUGAUGCCAAAGACAAUAAACGUUCUUACAAAUCUAUCCUGCUUGCUUACUGUUUUUUCUCUGCAUUGCCUGCUUGCUUCUCUGCUACUUUCGGUGCCAUUUUCUAUCUAUUUUCCUCAUAUGGUGUUUGCUUAUUUUUCUCUGAUCUUCGUCGUCUAAUGGCGAUAAUUAAUUCCAACAUCGAGUGGCUUGCUGGGACUAGAUUGGGCAGGAAGGAAAUCCCCCAUUGCGCUCUUUGUUGUAGCUCUGUGUUAACUACUAAACAAAGCUACGAGCAUUGGAUCUGGGCAUUACUAUUAUGUUUAAGAAAUCAAUUUCUCAGUGAUUACGUGCAUCAGCGAUGGUGAAAGCAUGUUCUGUAGCUCCUUCAUUGGCUGCAAAUACUAGAGACUUUUCAAACUGAGCAGGCUGACUACCAGCAUCCAAUCCUGACGAAGACGAAAAGCAAGUCAGUCCUCACAGCUAGGCCUUCUUUUCCUUCCCGGAUUUGUCUCUAGGUUUGUUUCUUGAGCUAUGCCAGUGUUCAUAUACUCCACAUCUGCAUGUUUGGAGGUGUGUAAAUUUGAUGCCCCAGUCUUUUUAUGCUAUGUAAAUUUGUGAUAGGAUCUACAAAACAGCAUCAGAAUAAAUCAUCUUUCAUUUAAAAUUUUCCUGUGUUGACGUGCCCUGGAACAUAGCUGUAUUGUCUAUGCAGAUAUAGUCAUGAAUUUUACAGGGCAUUCAAGCAUAUCAGAUGUAAGUUUACAAACAUGGAUUCUAUAUGAUGAUGCAGGUAGUUGAUUCAGUCCUAGAUGUUACGAAGCCUUAUGGAAAACCUUAGAAUACUAUGGUACUAGAGCUUCCAUUGAUUUUAUUAUUUUGCGUAUUUGGUAAAGUCAGUGUUAUGUGUUCACCAGGUAUGUCCCGCUGAAUGAUGCUUCCGUAUGUUAUUUCAGCUUGCCAGCUACUCCAGCAAGCUGUUCUACCAAUGACAUUGUUAGUAGUAUUAGCCACAACCACCAAAAAUAUGAAAAGUAGCUUUAGUAGCCAUUUGCAACCAAACUAAUGACAAAUUGUUGAGACACAUGAUUGUAUCCCAACAUGGUGUUAUGAAUAAUGAUAGGCUAUGUGCUGAAUUUCGAUUAUCAACUCAUGGGUAGUAAUACUUUGGACUCUGUUGUGCUAAAGUGAGCUCUUGGUUUUGGAUUUUAUUAAAAUUUAAUGGUGCUUAUAUUGUUGGUAAUUUUUGGGCAAGCAAAAUCUAUCCUAACACCAUUGGGUGCAUAAUUUAGUUCAAGUGUUUGUCAACUUGAUCUUACGAGUGCAUAUCUCAAACAAGUGAGUCAAGACUCUCAUAUAUGAAAUUGUGUGUGUGCGGCUGUUUGUAUACAUCUGAAUGUAAAAUUUAGGUUCUUAAUCUCAGCUAUACAGUAUUGUUCAUGUUCAGCGCCAUGACAAUGAUUCUGAUAUAUCUACUGUUACGCAUCUGGCUAACUAAUAAUGUUGUAUGUUUUUUUCUUAUUUCCAGGAUACAUCUCGUACGGAUGACAUCAGAAGGUGAUCAGAGUUUUGAAUGAGCUGGCUGGCUCCAGAUUUGUAGUUCGCUGACUUGGUCACGUGGUGAGCCGCCAACCGUUGUCCUCAUGACGAGGUCCCAUUUGCACCAGGGAGUGGAUGUAGGGAGCUGGUCCGGAAGGCAAAAAGAAGGUGGAUUUGGGCUGCACUUCAAAUCUACAACCUUCAGCGUACCAGAAUUGUCGACACAUCAGAAGACCCAAAUCGCCCCAGCUUGGAAGCCACCUCCUGAAGGUUUUAUAAAGAUUAACACCGAUGCUUCCUUCAUUCCUGAAUCUGGGGUUGGUAGCGCUGGAAUGGUCAGGUGGGAUCACCUUGGUAGCGGUCAUGUUAUCUGCAGCCUGUCAGACGAGAAACUGCACCGGGCUGAAGAAGCAGAAGUUGAGGUUAUACUGCAGGGCGUGCAUCUGAACAUGAACUUUGGCUGCAUAGCAUCAUGGUGGGAUCUGACUGACAGACGCUGAUCAAUUCCAGGUCUCAUAACCUCUGUACCUCGUUUCUAAUUGUCACUGUUGAUUUUCUAUAUAGACCUCUAAUUAUUUUUUUUCUAAAAUGGGGAGCUUAGCCCCGGCUUAGAUAGAUUUCUGAAUAAUUAAAAAGCUUCAUGUCGUGUGCACUUUCAUUAAGAAAAAGUUCAGAAUAUACUAAAGUUUUUUCAUAGUA